AACGCUGGCGGCGUGCCUAAUACAUGCAAGUCGAGCGAACAGACGAGGAGCUUGCUCCUCUGACGUUAGCGGCGGACGGGUGAGUAACACGUGGAUAACCUACCUAUAAGACUGGGAUAACUUCGGGAAACCGGAGCUAAUACCGGAUAAUAUAUUGAACCGCAUGGUUCAAUAGUGAAAGACGGUUUUGCUGUCACUUAUAGAUGGAUCCGCGCCGCAUUAGCUAGUUGGUAAGGUAACGGCUUACCAAGGCAACGAUGCGUAGCCGACCUGAGAGGGUGAUCGGCCACACUGGAACUGAGACACGGUCCAGACUCCUACGGGAGGCAGCAGUAGGGAAUCUUCCGCAAUGGGCGAAAGCCUGACGGAGCAACGCCGCGUGAGUGAUGAAGGUCUUCGGAUCGUAAAACUCUGUUAUUAGGGAAGAACAAAUGUGUAAGUAACUAUGCACGUCUUGACGGUACCUAAUCAGAAAGCCACGGCUAACUACGUGCCAGCAGCCGCGGUAAUACGUAGGUGGCAAGCGUUAUCCGGAAUUAUUGGGCGUAAAGCGCGCGUAGGCGGUUUUUUAAGUCUGAUGUGAAAGCCCACGGCUCAACCGUGGAGGGUCAUUGGAAACUGGAAAACUUGAGUGCAGAAGAGGAAAGUGGAAUUCCAUGUGUAGCGGUGAAAUGCGCAGAGAUAUGGAGGAACACCAGUGGCGAAGGCGACUUUCUGGUCUGUA
This 724-nucleotide ribosomal RNA is filed under the name uncultured Staphylococcus sp. RNAcentral describes it as "bacterial SSU rRNA". It matches the Rfam family "Bacterial small subunit ribosomal RNA", at positions 32 to 738 of the family's 1533-position model. Lineage: Bacteria; Bacillati; Bacillota; Bacilli; Caryophanales; Staphylococcaceae. The record is from RNAcentral.